Molecule: ribosomal RNA, 254 nt
Filed under: uncultured bacterium
Lineage: Bacteria
Description: partial 16S ribosomal RNA
Rfam family: Bacterial small subunit ribosomal RNA
Source: RNAcentral
GACGAAGGUGGCAACCGUUGUUCGGAAUCACUGGGCAUAAAGCGCACGUAGGCGGGACAUGCAAGUCGGGUGUGAAAUCCCUCGGCCCAACCGAGGAACUGCGCCCGAAACUGUUGUUCUUGAGGACAGAAGGGGAGCGUGGAAUUCCUGGUGGAGCGGUGAAAUGCGUUGAUAUCAGGAGGAACACCGGCGGCGAAGGCGACGCUCUGGUCUGUUUCUGACGCUAAGGUGCGAAAGCCAGGGGAGCAAACGGG